UACGUAGGGUGCGAGCGUUGUCCGGAAUUACUGGGCGUAAAGAGCUCGUAGGUGGUUUGUCGCGUCGUCUGUGAAAUUCCGGGGCUUAACUCCGGGCGUGCAGGCGAUACGGGCAUAACUUGAGUACUGUAGGGGAGACUGGAAUUCCUGGUGUAGCGGUGAAAUGCGCAGAUAUCAGGAGGAACACCAAUGGCGAAGGCAGGUCUCUGGGCAGUUACUGACGCUGAGGAGCGAAAGCAUGGGUAGCGAACAGGAUUAGAUA
Molecule: ribosomal RNA, 262 nt
Filed under: uncultured prokaryote
Description: partial 16S ribosomal RNA
Rfam family: Bacterial small subunit ribosomal RNA
Source: RNAcentral